UUGAAUGUAAAAUUUUUAUUUAAUUAUUAUUAGUUAUGGUCUUUAAAAUUAAAAAUUUUGGCGGUAUUUUAGUCUUUUUAGAGGAACCUGUUCUUUAAAUGAUAAUCCACGAUUUUAUUAACUUUUAUUAUUAAUUUGUAGAUCGUCGUAGUUAAAUAUUUUGUUAGAAUUAUAAUAUUUAAGAUUUUUAUAAAAAAAAAUUAAUCAGAUCAAGGUGCAGUUUAUAUAAAAGUAGAAAUGGGUUACAUUAAAUUCUUUUUGGAUUUUACAUACUGGUACCUGAAUGAAAUUGGAUUUACAUGUAAUAUUAAUCAAUCA
Molecule: ribosomal RNA, 318 nt
Filed under: Paratriarius curtisii
Lineage: Eukaryota; Metazoa; Arthropoda; Insecta; Coleoptera; Chrysomelidae
Description: partial 12S ribosomal RNA
Source: RNAcentral